RNAcentral lists this microRNA precursor (125 nucleotides) under Canis lupus familiaris (dog). RNAcentral's name for it is "miRNA (ENSCAFG00845015790.1)". The stretch from base 17 to 107 matches the Rfam family "mir-8799 microRNA precursor family". Lineage: Eukaryota; Metazoa; Chordata; Mammalia; Carnivora; Canidae. The record is from RNAcentral.
GGCCCCUGCCUGUCCCGGGGGGAGGCCGGAUCCUGGGCUGUGUCCGGUCGCCCAGUGCUCCCGGGGCCUGCGCUGUUUGAUUCGUGCUCCCGGCCGCGCAGCCCCCUCCGCGGAGCCGCCCCCGA